GGAGGCUUAGCUCAGCUGGUUAGAGCGUCCGCCUCACACGCGGAAGGUCGAUGGUUCGAGUCCAUUAGUCUCCACCA
Molecule: transfer RNA, 77 nt
Filed under: Lachnospiraceae bacterium
Lineage: Bacteria; Bacillati; Bacillota; Clostridia; Lachnospirales; Lachnospiraceae
Also listed under: 1 other name
Description: tRNA-Val
Rfam family: tRNA
About the family: Transfer RNA (tRNA) molecules are approximately 80 nucleotides in length.
Source: RNAcentral